This 435-nucleotide ribosomal RNA is filed under the name Triticum aestivum (bread wheat). Its description in RNAcentral is "partial small subunit ribosomal RNA". The record is from RNAcentral. Lineage: Eukaryota; Viridiplantae; Streptophyta; Magnoliopsida; Poales; Poaceae.
GCCUUUGUGUCCAUGUGUGAGAAUUUUCUGGGUUGCCGACCGCACUGGGGCCUGUUCAAGCAUAUAUUCACGUGUCGCUCCCAGACCGUGAAGAAGGCGAGUCCAGAUGCCGAUAAAACCAAGGUUAUCCAGAUGUGUGGAGGUCUGGGGAUCCAGAUGAGGAACAAGAGUACCUUCCCAGCCAUGACACUUCCCGAGUCGGUCAGAGGCUGGCAGUCGACUUGGUUUUACUGCCAGAACGAGUCAACGCCGGGGCAGUCGAGUGGGCUCCCUCAAUUCACCAUGGACCGAGCCAACAAGCCCUCCUCUCUGAAGGUGCUCCCGGAGGAGAAAGCCGACGUGAGGAUGCUGAUGGAGCGCGUAGUCCAGUUGGUUCGGGAAGGAGUGACGGGUAUGGAUCUCCUGGAAGUUUUUCUUAGGCGAUGUAUCCAGCCU